AAGAUCAUUCGCCCUCACUUUUAAAGUUCUUCUUAUUAUUCUUUGCAAAAGAUGAGGCCCAAAGCCCAAGCCCAAGCCCAAGAAGGCCAAAGCCCAAAAAGCCCAAGUUCAUCUCAUGAAGGGCAAGGCCAAGUAUUAAAUAAUAAAGAAUAUUGUUGAAGGUGCUUAGAGGGAAACAUUAGAAACCUCUAUUGUUAAAGCAUCUUUUAGUCUUUAGUUAGGAGUUUUAGGGGGGGUGUGUUAGUAGAUAGGUGUAGGAGUAAAUAAGGAGGUGCCAAAGUGAGAGAAGGGAUCACACCUUCCUCAUGCAUUGUUUUAGGCGCCAAUUCUAGAAGCUUUUAGGAGGGAGUUUUUUGAAUUUGUGUAGCUUACAUUUCAGC
This 380-nucleotide long non-coding RNA is filed under the name Phaseolus vulgaris (common bean). RNAcentral's name for it is "long non-coding RNA (PVUL_LNC005305)". The record is from RNAcentral. Lineage: Eukaryota; Viridiplantae; Streptophyta; Magnoliopsida; Fabales; Fabaceae.